GACGAACGCUGGCGGCGUGCUCAACACAUGCAAGUCGAACGGAAAGGCCCUGCUUUUGUGGGGUGCUCGAGUGGCGAACGGGUGAGUAACACGUGAGUAACCUGCCCUUGACUUUGGGAUAACUUCAGGAAACUGGGGCUAAUACCGGAUAGGAGCUCCUGCUGCAUGGUGGGGGUUGGAAAGUUUCGGCGGUUGGGGAUGGACUCGCGGCUUAUCAGCUUGUUGGUGGGGUAGUGGCUUACCAAGGCUUUGACGGGUAGCCGGCCUGAGAGGGUGACCGGCCACAUUGGGGCUGAGAUACGGCCCAGACUCCUACGGGGGGCAGCAGUGGGGAAUAUUGCACAAUGGGCGGAAGCCUGAUGCAGCAACGCCGCGUGCGGGAUGACGGCCUUCGGGUUGUAAACCGCUUUCGCCUGUGACGAAGCGUGAGUGACGGUAAUGGGUAAAGAAGCACCGGCUAACUACGUG
Molecule: ribosomal RNA, 468 nt
Filed under: uncultured bacterium
Lineage: Bacteria
Description: partial 16S ribosomal RNA
Rfam family: Bacterial small subunit ribosomal RNA
Source: RNAcentral